GAUCGACUGAGGGGGUCUGGGUGCUGUGAUCGACUGAGGGGGUCUGGGUGCUGUGAUCGACUGAGGGGGGUCUGGGUGCUGUGAUCGACUGAGGGGGUCUGGUGGUGGUUCCUGUGUCUCCUGUUUUUUCGACAACAUCACCACUGCAGUUCAAUAGCGACUGUGUGUGUGUGUUGUGGCUAACUCCUGGACAGCCAGUGAGUGAGGAGCAGGACCAUGCAGCUUUAAGACAGAUGUUCUUAGCCAGGGAAGGUCAAGAUUUCUAUUCCUCAGGAACUUGGUUGCCUGCUGUUCUAUCUCCUGUCUGACACUUAAAC
Molecule: long non-coding RNA, 317 nt
Organism: Oncorhynchus tshawytscha (Chinook salmon)
Lineage: Eukaryota; Metazoa; Chordata; Actinopteri; Salmoniformes; Salmonidae
Source: Ensembl